UUGCUGGGUGGAUUAGUGGCGAACGGAAUGAGUAACACGUGAGUAACCUGCCCUUAACUCUGGGAUAAGCCUGGGAAACUGGGUCUAAUACCGGAUAGGAGCGCCUACCGCAUGGUGGGUGUUGGAAAGAUUUAUCGGUUUUGGAUGGACUCGCGGCCUAUCAGCUUGUUGGUGAGGUAAUGGCUCACCAAGGCGACGACGGGUAGCCGGCCUGAGAGGGUGACCGGCCACACUGGGACUGAGACACGGCCCAGACUCCUACGGGAGGCAGCAGUGGGGAAUAUUGCACAAUGGGCGCAAGCCUGAUGCAGCGACGCCGCGUGAGGGAUGACGGCCUUCGGGUUGUAAACCUCUUUCAGUAGGGAAGAAGCGAAAGUGACGGUACCUGCAGAAGAAGCACCGGCUAACUACGUGCCAGCAGCCGCGGUAAUACGUAGGGUGCGAGCGUUAUCCGGAAUUAUUGGGCGUAAAGAGCUCGUAGGCGGUUUGUCGCGUCUGUCGUGAAAGUCCGGGGCUUAACCCCGGAUCUGCGGUGGGUACGGGCAGACUAGAGUGCAGUAGGGGAGACUGGAAUUCCUGGUGUAGCGGUGGAAUGCGCAGAUAUCAGGAGGAACACCGAUGGCGAAGGCAGGUCUCUGGGCUGUAACUGACGCUGAGGAGCGAAAGCAUGGGGAGCGAACAGGAUUAGAUACCCUGGUAGUCCAUGCCGUAAACGUUGGGCACUAGGUGUGGGGACCAUUCCACGGUUUCCGCGCCGCAGCUAACGCAUUAAGUGCCCCGCCUGGGGAGUACGGCCGCAAGGCUAAAACUCAAAGGAAUUGACGGGGGCCCGCACAAGCGGCGGAGCAUGCGGAUUAAUUCGAUGCAACGCGAAGAACCUUACCAAGGCUUGACAUGUUCUCGAUCGCCGUAGAGAUACGGUUUCCCCUUUGGGGCGGGUUCACAGGUGGUGCAUGGUUGUCGUCAGCUCGUGUCGUGAGAUGUUGGGUUAAGUCCCGCAACGAGCGCAACCCUCGUUCCAUGUUGCCAGCACGUAAUGGUGGGGAACUCAUGGGAAGACUGCCGGGGUCA
This is a ribosomal RNA of 1071 nucleotides. It matches the Rfam family "Bacterial small subunit ribosomal RNA", at positions 80 to 1160 of the family's 1533-position model.